This 289-nucleotide ribosomal RNA is filed under the name uncultured Rothia sp. RNAcentral's name for it is "partial 16S ribosomal RNA". The record is from RNAcentral. Lineage: Bacteria; Bacillati; Actinomycetota; Actinomycetes; Micrococcales; Micrococcaceae.
CUACAGGGGUAUCUAAUCCUGUUCGCUCCCCAUGCUUUCGCUUCUCAGCGUCAGUUACAGCCCAGAGACCUGCCUUCGCCAUCGGUGUUCCUCCUGAUAUCUGUGCAUUCCACCGCUACACCAGGAAUUCCAGUCUCCCCUACUGCACUCUAGUUAGCCCGUACCCACUGCAAAACCGGAGUUAAGCCCCGGCCUUUCACAGCAGACGCGACCAACCGCCUACAAGCUCUUUACGCCCAAUAAUUCCGGACAACGCUCGCGCCCUACGUAUUACCGCGGCUGCUGGCAC